This 683-nucleotide unclassified non-coding RNA is filed under the name Staphylococcus aureus subsp. aureus USA300_TCH1516. Its description in RNAcentral is "noncoding RNA SprD". The stretch from base 385 to 526 matches the Rfam family "Small pathogenicity island RNA D". The record is from RNAcentral. Lineage: Bacteria; Bacillati; Bacillota; Bacilli; Caryophanales; Staphylococcaceae.
AAUGAUGUUAAUUCUCCUUAAAUUCUAUAUUUAAAUUUAUAGUUAGUUUUGCGAAAUUCCUAAAAUGAGUUUAAUCUAAUCGACGAAAUAUAUUAAUUAACUUGAAAUUAAUAAAAGAUUAAUUAUUUUUAACUAAAAAUUAAAAUUCAAUUAGUGUUUUGAUGAAUUUGGUCUCGAUAAAUUGAAAUAAUCUAAAAAACGCUAUAAUUUUUCUAUUAAUAGUAAUUAAUAUGUGCUAUAUUUAUCUUAGACACAGCAAUGUGUUCAAAUUUUCAUCUAUUCAUAAGCUAGCCUUCGGGCUAGUUUUUUUGUGCUAUAUAUAUUUGUUUUAAUUAAAUAAAAUUAGAUAAUGCAAUAGUAGCCAUUUUAUGUUAAUAUUACCUUGGGCGUUUUCAAGGAGCGCCUUUCAUUUUUUAUGUAUUGCUCCCCUUCGGGCUAGUAUAUUAAAUUUAUUUUUGCGCUUUCCAAAUCAAUGUAUAUGUGUUAUAUUGUUUAUGGGAAGUAGGUAAGCAUUUCGGUGCUUACCUUUUUUUGUUUUUCUAUAAAUACAAUAAGGUAUGUCAAUUUGAUAAUUUAUUAAUUUUCAUUUAAUAAGAAGAUCUAUAUAGUUAAUGAAUAAUUAAUGUACUUUUUUUUAGUCAGUCAUUAAAAUAAAUUAGUACUAAUUACUAAGGAGAAUAAAA